AGUGAACGCUGGCGGUAGGCCUAACACAUGCAAGUCGAACGGCAGCACAGUAAGAGCUUGCUCUUACGGGUGGCGAGUGGCGGACGGGUGAGGAAUACAUCGGAAUCUACUUUUUCGUGGGGGAUAACGUAGGGAAACUUACGCUAAUACCGCAUACGACCUACGGGUGAAAGCAGGGGAUCUUCGGACCUUGUGCGAUUGCAUGAGCCGAUGUCGGAUUAGCUAGUUGGGGGGGUAAAGGCCCACGAAGGCGACGAUCCGUAGCUGGUGUGAGAGAAGGGUCGGCCACACUGGAACUGAGACACGGUCCAGACUCCUACGGGAGGCAGCAGUGGGGAAUAUUGGACAAUGGGCGCAAGCCUGAUCCAGCCAUACCGCGUGGGUGAAGAAGGCCUUCGGGUUGUAAAGCCCUUUUGUUGGGAAAGAAAAGCAGCAGGUUAAUACCCCGCUGUUCUGACGGUACCCAAAGAAUAAGCACCGGCUAACUUCGUG
This 492-nucleotide ribosomal RNA is filed under the name uncultured bacterium. Its description in RNAcentral is "partial 16S ribosomal RNA". It matches the Rfam family "Bacterial small subunit ribosomal RNA", at positions 29 to 507 of the family's 1533-position model. The record is from RNAcentral.